UCCAUGUGUAGCGGUGAAAUGCGUAGAUAUAUGGAGGAACACCNGUGGCGAAAGCGGCUCUCUGGUCUGUCACUGACGCUGAGGCUCGAAAGCGUGGGUAGCGAACAGGAUUAGAUACCCUGGUAGUNCACGCCGUAAACGAUGAGUGCUAGGUGUUAGGCCCUUUCCGGGGCUUAGUGCCGGAGCUAACGCAAUAAGCACUCCGCCUGGGGAGUACGACCGCAAGGUUGAAACUCAAAGGAAUUGACGGGGGCCCGCACAAGCGGUGGAGCAUGUGGUUUAAUUCGAAGCAACGCGAAGAACCUUACCAGGUCUUGACAUCCCGAUGCUAUUCUUAGAGAUAGGAAGUUACUUCGGUACAUCGGAGACAGGUGGUGCAUGGUUGUCGUCAGCUCGUGUCGUGAGAUGUUGGGUUAAGUCCCGCAACGAGCGCAACCCUUAUUGUUAGUUGCCAUCAUUAAGUUGGGCACUCUAGCGAGACUGCCGGUAAUAAACCGGAGGAAGGUGGGGAUGACGUCAAAUCAUCAUGCCCCUUAUGACCUGGGCUACACACGUGCUACAAUGGUCGGUACAACGAGUUGCGAGCCGGUGACGGCAAGCUAAUCUCUGAAAGCCGAUCUCAGUUCGGAUUGGAGGCUGCAACUCGCCUCCAUGAAGUCGGAAUCGCUAGUAAUCGCGGAUCAGCACGCCGCGGUGAAUACGUUCCCGGGCCUUGUACACACCGCCCGUCACACCACGAGAGUUUGUAACACCCGAAGUCGGUGAGGUAACCUUUUAGGGGCCA
Molecule: ribosomal RNA, 784 nt
Filed under: uncultured bacterium
Lineage: Bacteria
Description: bacterial SSU rRNA
Rfam family: Bacterial small subunit ribosomal RNA
Source: RNAcentral